GAUCGAGUUUGAUCCUGGCUCAGAGCGAACGCUGGCGGCAGGCCUAACACAUGCAAGUCGAACGGAUCCUUCGGGAUUAGUGGCGGACGGGUGAGUAACACGUGGGAACGUGCCCUUUGGUUCGGAACAACUCAGGGAAACUUGAGCUAAUACCGGAUGUGCCCUUCGGGGGAAAGAUUAUCGCCAUUGGAGCGGCCCGCGUCUGAUUAGCUAGUUGGUGAGGUAAAGGCUCACCAAGGCGACGAUCAGUAGCUGGUCUGAGAGGAUGAUCAG
This 273-nucleotide ribosomal RNA is filed under the name uncultured Caulobacter sp. RNAcentral describes it as "partial 16S ribosomal RNA". It matches the Rfam family "Bacterial small subunit ribosomal RNA", at positions 1 to 307 of the family's 1533-position model. The record is from RNAcentral. Lineage: Bacteria; Pseudomonadati; Pseudomonadota; Alphaproteobacteria; Caulobacterales; Caulobacteraceae.